GACGAACGCUGGCGGCGUGCCUAAUACAUGCAAGUAGGACGCUGAAGGCGGAGCUUGCUUCUCUGGAUGAGUUGCGAACGGGUGAGUAACGCGUAGGUAACCUGCCUGGUAGCGGGGGAUAACUAUUGGAAACGAUAGCUAAUACCGCAUAAUAGUAGAUGUUGCAUGACAUUUGCUUAAAAGGUGCACUUGCAUCACUACCAGAUGGACCUGCGUUGUAUUAGCUAGUUGGUGGGGUAACGGCUCACCAAGGGGACGUUACAUAGCCGACCUGAGAGGGUGAGCGCCCAAGCUGGGACGGAGACACGACCCAGACCCCUGCGGGAGGCAGAAGUAGGGAACUCUCGGCGAUGGAAGGAAGUGGGAACGAGGAACGACGCGUGAGUGAAGAAGGUUGUCGGAUCGUAAAGGUCAGGUGUAAGAGAAGAACGAGUGUGAGUGUGGAAAGUUCACACUGUGACGGUACCUUACCAGAAAGGGACGGCUAACUACGUG
This 495-nucleotide ribosomal RNA is filed under the name uncultured bacterium. RNAcentral's name for it is "partial 16S ribosomal RNA". It matches the Rfam family "Bacterial small subunit ribosomal RNA", at positions 28 to 507 of the family's 1533-position model. The record is from RNAcentral.